GAUGACGCCUAGCUACGAGGCUUAACGCAUGCAAGUCGAGGGGCAUCGGGAAGGAAAGCGUUGACGUUUCUUUGCCGGCGACCGGCGCACGGGUGAGUAACACGUAUCCAACCUGCCCUUUACUCGGGGAUAGCCUUUCGAAAGAAAGAUUAAUACCCGAUAGCAUAAUGAUUCCGCAUGGUUUCAUUAUUAAAGGAUUCCGGUAAAGGAUGGGGAUGCGUUCCAUUAGGUUGUUGGUGAGGUAACGGCUCACCAAGCCUUCGAUGGAUAGGGGUUCUGAGAGGAAGGUCCCCCACAUUGGAACUGAGACACGGUCCAA
This 319-nucleotide ribosomal RNA is filed under the name uncultured bacterium. RNAcentral's name for it is "bacterial SSU rRNA". It matches the Rfam family "Bacterial small subunit ribosomal RNA", at positions 46 to 334 of the family's 1533-position model. The record is from RNAcentral.